This is a long non-coding RNA of Bombina bombina (fire-bellied toad), 1132 nucleotides long. RefSeq lists it as uncharacterized. The record is from RefSeq and is a predicted model, not a curated record. The transcript has 2 exons. Lineage: Eukaryota; Metazoa; Chordata; Amphibia; Anura; Bombinatoridae.
GACCUCUUAUUGCCCCGCUUGGAUGAAGACCUCUGCCGGUCUGGAUGUCCUCUUCUGCUCCAUCGGAUGAAGACUUCGGCCCGGCUGGGUGAACACGACUCAAGCUGAGGACCACCUUAUACCCACACCUGACCAUGCACAUGGACCCUACAGCUACCCUUGAGCAUCCUGAGUCUCAGUCUGUUGCUGAGCCAUAAAGUCCCAGCCUUAUUCCACCUCAACCCCAUACCACUUAAACUACACCCUCAGCACUCCCAGUCCCAGCCAGUUAGUUCUAUCAAUGCAGGAAGCUCAUGUAGUAGUAUUUAUUAAAGUCUAUAGUGAAGUAAUAAGUGGAAAGGUCCACCCCAUGAUGUGGGACAACAAAAAGCUAAAACAGAUUACAGCACAUCUCAAAAUACAGAGUCUUAAAUACAUUCCUGGACCUCUGCUGUGUAAACAAUGUUUGCAGUUCCUGCAGUGGCGUCACUAGGGUUGGUGUCACCCGGUGCGGUAAGUCAUGGUGUCACCCCCCCCGAAAGCAGACACACACAAAAACACAGGCAAACACACAUACAAACACUCAGACACACUUAAAAACAUACUCAGAUGCACACACAAACACUCGGAAACACACUCAGACACACACACAAAAACACACACACAAAAACACUGAGACACACAAAAACUCAGACACACACAUACAAAAUAUGUAAACUGCACUGCAUUAAUUAUGAAGCUCAUGCCUAGAGCUGCUCCCUGGCUCAGCAGAACAUCAAAUGAAAGAUAAACAGAGCACUCUAAAAUAAAUCACCGAAGAAAAGGUUUAGGAGCGCAAACUAUGAAAAUUCUGCUCUCUGACUCUGUUCCAAGUCUGUCAGUGCACAGCCCUGGGCCGCAUGUCACUGAGCAGUGAGCACAGAUAGGCAGGCAGGUUUAGGCUAGCAGCGCAACUUUGCAAGCCCCACGGCACACCCACAACAUUCAUAGUGAAAUUGGGCAGGGGAGGAGCAAAGUACAAACAAGCAAAAGAACUAUUUGUUGAAAUUGCAGCCCUGGCUCAAGGGGCAAAAAAAUUGUGUGUCUACAACUUCCCCAGUCCCACUAAUGUUCACAAAUGCCAGCCUCUAAUAAAAUAAUCUAUGCAUCUCAA